This 362-nucleotide unclassified non-coding RNA is filed under the name fungal sp. RNAcentral describes it as "partial internal transcribed spacer region". The stretch from base 1 to 46 matches the Rfam family "Eukaryotic small subunit ribosomal RNA", at positions 1786 to 1831 of the family's 1831-position model. Lineage: Eukaryota; Fungi. The record is from RNAcentral.
AAGUCGUAACAAGGUUUCCGUAGGUGAACCUGCGGAAGGAUCAUUCAUGUGAAUUCUAAAACACACAACCCUUUUGUGAACUUAGUAUUUUUCAAUGACUUGCUUGCUUUUUUUCAUAUCUGGUUUAUGUUUUUUUUGUUGGCUGCUUCUUUUUCUAUUUUCUGAGGGGUUUUUGUUAGUUUGCUUUUGUCUGAAAUGCAACCGAUAAAAACUCUCUAGUGAAAAAUGAAAAAAAAUGCUACCUAAUGAUUUACCAAUAUAACAUGUCUUCAAAAGAUAACUUCCAAACAAAUAUUUUGUAAAAAUAUAUUACAACUUUUAACGAUGGAUCCCUCGGCUCUCACUUCGAUGAAAAACGCAGC